AGGACGAACGCUGGCGGCGUGCUUAACACAUGCAAGUCGAACGGUGAAGCCUUUCGGGGUGGAUCAGUGGCGAACGGGUGAGUAACACGUGAGCAAUCUGCCCUUGACUCUGGGAUAACUUCGGGAAACCGGAGCUAAUACCGGAUAUGACGCAUGGCCGCAUGGUCUGUGUGUGGAAAGAUUUAUUGGUCAGGGAUGAGCUCGCGGCCUAUCAGCUUGUUGGUGGGGUAAUGGCCUACCAAGGCGACGACGGGUA
This 256-nucleotide ribosomal RNA is filed under the name uncultured bacterium. RNAcentral describes it as "partial small subunit ribosomal RNA". It matches the Rfam family "Bacterial small subunit ribosomal RNA", at positions 26 to 285 of the family's 1533-position model. The record is from RNAcentral.